UGCGCGGGCAAGACGGCCGCCGGUUCCCGCUUGUCGGGGACGGGAGGUAAAGUCCGAACACGGCAGGACACGGUGGUGGGUAACGCCCACCGAUCCCGAGCGAUCGGGACCAGGGAAAGUGCCACAGAAAAUACACCGCCGAUGGGCUUCGGCCACAGGCAAGGGUGAAAAGGUGCGGUAAGAGCGCACCGCCGACCUGGUGACAGGCCGGGCAUGGCAAACCCCACCGCGUGCAAGGCCAAGCAGCGGCAAUGAGCUGGUCCGGCUCGCCAAGCCGCGGGUAGGCUGCUGGACCCCGUCGGCAACGGCGGGGCUAGAUAAAUGGCCGUCACCCCGCUUGCGGGGCACAGAAUUCGGCUUAUGAACCGGCGCACCAU
RNAcentral lists this RNase P RNA (377 nucleotides) under Phycisphaerae bacterium. Its description in RNAcentral is "RNase P RNA component class A". It matches the Rfam family "Bacterial RNase P class A". Rfam says of the family: Ribonuclease P (RNase P) is a ubiquitous endoribonuclease, found in archaea, bacteria and eukarya as well as chloroplasts and mitochondria. Its best characterised activity is the generation of mature 5'-ends of tRNAs by cleaving the 5'-leader elements of precursor-tRNAs. Cellular RNase Ps are ribonucleoproteins. Lineage: Bacteria; Pseudomonadati; Planctomycetota; Phycisphaerae. The record is from RNAcentral.